UGGCACACCUGAUGGUUAUCUUUGAGC
Molecule: non-coding RNA, 27 nt
Filed under: Mus musculus (house mouse)
Lineage: Eukaryota; Metazoa; Chordata; Mammalia; Rodentia; Muridae
Source: RNAcentral